This 107-nucleotide small nuclear RNA is filed under the name Lynx canadensis (Canada lynx). The record is from RNAcentral. Lineage: Eukaryota; Metazoa; Chordata; Mammalia; Carnivora; Felidae.
GUGCUUGCUUCAGCAGCACAUAUACUAAAAUUGGAAUGAUACAGAGAAGAUUAGCAUGGCCCCUGCACAAGGAUGACACACAAAUUCGUGAAGCGUUCCAUAUUUUU